GAGCGUUGCGGGUGCUAUACAUGCAGUCGAGCGGACAGAUGGGAGCUUGCUCCCUGAUGUUAGCGGCGGACGGGUGAGUAACACGUGGGUAACCUGCCUGUAAGACUGGGAUAACUCCGGGAAACCGGGGCUAAUACCGGAUGGUUGUUUGAACCGCAUGGUUCAAACAUAAAAGGUGGCUUCGGCUACCACUUACAGAUGGACCCGCGGCGCAUUAGCUAGUUGGUGAGGUAACGGCUCACCAAGGCAACGAUGCGUAGCCGACCUGAGAGGGUGAUCGGCCACACUGGGACUGAGACACGGCCCAGACUCCUACGGGAGGCAGCAGUAGGGAAUCUUCCGCAAUGGACGAAAGUCUGACGGAGCAACGCCGCGUGAGUGAUGAAGGUUUUCGGAUCGUAAAGCUCUGUUGUUAGGGAAGAACAAGUACCGUUCGAAUAGGGCGGUACCUUGACGGUACCUAACCAGAAAGCCACGGCUAACUACGUGCCAGCAGCCGCGGUAAUACGUAGGUGGCAAGCGUUGUCCGGAAUUAUUGGGCGUAAAGGGCUCGCAGGCGGUUUCUUAAGUCUGAUGUGAAAGCCCCCGGCUCAACCGGGGAGGGUCAUUGGAAACUGGGGAACUUGAGUGCAGAAGAGGAGAGUGGAAUUCCACGUGUAGCGGUGAAAUGCGUAGAGAUGUGGAGGAACACCAGUGGCGAAGGCGACUCUCUGGUCUGUAACUGACGCUGAGGAGCGAAAGCGUGGGGAGCGAACAGGAUUAGAUACCCUGGUAGUCCACGCCGUAAACGAUGAGUGCUAAGUGUUAGGGGGUUUCCGCCCCUUAGUGCUGCAGCUAACGCAUUAAGCACUCCGCCUGGGGAGUACGGUCGCAAGACUGAAACUCAAAGGAAUUGACGGGGGCCCGCACAAGCGGUGGAGCAUGUGGUUUAAUUCGAAGCAACGCGGAAGACCUUACCAGGUCUUGACAUCCUCUGACAAUCCUAGAGAUAGGACGUCCCCUUCGGGGGCAGAGUGACAGGGGGUGCAUGGUGUCGUCAGCUCGUGUCGUGGGAUGUGGGUUAAGUCCCGCACGAGGCGCAACCUUUGAUCUUAGUUGCCAGCAUUCAGUUGG
RNAcentral lists this ribosomal RNA (1113 nucleotides) under Bacillus subtilis. RNAcentral's name for it is "bacterial SSU rRNA". It matches the Rfam family "Bacterial small subunit ribosomal RNA", at positions 31 to 1134 of the family's 1533-position model. The record is from RNAcentral. Lineage: Bacteria; Bacillati; Bacillota; Bacilli; Caryophanales; Bacillaceae.